GAUGAAGAACGUAGCGAAAUGCGAUAAGUAGUGUGAAUUGCAGAAUUCCGUGAAUCAUCGAAUCUUUGAACGCACAUUGCGCCUUCUGGUAUUCCGGAAGGCAUGCCUGUUCGAGAGUCAUUAACAACCGUUUCGAUCCCUUUCUUUCAGAAAUUACAAAGAGGAAAAGGGUUUGGUUAUGGUGGAGGAGGGAAAGGGAGCGUUUAGCCUGUAAAAAAAGAGGCUGUGUUCCGCCUCCCCCCGAAAAUUGUACAGGCGGUCGUGUGCGCCCACGCAUCGAGGUGUUGUAAAAGCUGCCACGGCACUUUUCACCUGUGCAGUGCGAGAUUGGCCAGCCGGUUUAAAAACCCCUCCAAACAAUCAAAGGUUGACCUCGGAUCAGGUAGGGAUACCCGCUGAACUUAAGCAUAUCAAUAAGCGGAGGA
Molecule: unclassified non-coding RNA, 425 nt
Filed under: soil metagenome
Description: partial contains 5.8S ribosomal RNA, internal transcribed spacer 2, and large subunit ribosomal RNA
Rfam family: 5.8S ribosomal RNA (bases 1-120)
Source: RNAcentral